CUGGCUUUGGCACCAAGUAUUGUACAACUGGAACUAGACAAAGAAGAUUAGCAUGGCCCCUGCAAAAGGAUGACAAGUUAUUUGUGAAUCGUUCCAAAUGUUU
Vombatus ursinus (common wombat) is the source of this 103-nucleotide small nuclear RNA. NCBI's taxonomy places the organism in Eukaryota, Metazoa, Chordata, Mammalia, Diprotodontia, Vombatidae. The record is from Ensembl.